Long non-coding RNA from Drosophila nasuta, 627 nucleotides. RefSeq lists it as uncharacterized. The transcript has 3 exons. Lineage: Eukaryota; Metazoa; Arthropoda; Insecta; Diptera; Drosophilidae. The record is from RefSeq and is a predicted model, not a curated record.
AUAAAAACAAAGUAAACUCACAAAUUUAUUACCAAUUGUCAAAAUAGUAAUAUUUUCAUGUAUUAAAAGACACCUACAAAUUGUGAAGUUUGAUAUCACACCCUGAGAUUAAUUGUGACGCAAUGAACAUCCUAGCAUUUGGGGACUGUCCUAUAGUUUAUUCAAUGGAAAACAAAUUGUGGCGCAGAUAUUUAAUGAAGCCAUAAUCAAUAUCGCAAAAAAAUAAUCCAAGUCCGAAAACAAAACACCAUGAAGGAUAAAAGCGCACUACCGAUAAAUCUAAGACCCUGUCAAGGAUACAAAAUAUUCGAGACUGUUAAUCAAAGCUAAUAAGGGUCCUCUGGUGAUGCCUCCCCAUCAAAUAAACAGUGAUGCUAAUGGAAAGAAUAUUUGGUUGUAAAGAAGCUCUAGAUGCAGAUAAUAUUGCUUUUGCACUGUUGAUUGCAAAAAGGAGUUUCUUAAAGGAUGCCAUUAAAUGCAAGGAAAUGCUUAUAAAUGCAGUGGAAACCGAAUUUUUCAUACAACAAAAAAAACUUUGAAUAAACAUUUUAAGAAUGGAUGGAACAUAAGCACAUGUACAUACAUUUAUUAAUUACAUAUACAAAAAUACAACCGCGAGCAAAGCUG